This 645-nucleotide long non-coding RNA is filed under the name Prunus persica (peach). RNAcentral describes it as "long non-coding RNA (PPER_LNC002518)". The record is from RNAcentral. Lineage: Eukaryota; Viridiplantae; Streptophyta; Magnoliopsida; Rosales; Rosaceae.
AUACAGGUGAUAAGCUUCUAAAAUAUUUUGCUUAAUUGCUUUAUGGGCCCCACACAUGUGGGCUCCACAUAUUUAUUCUUUACCACAGAAAACUGGAAAAAAAUUAUCAAAUUGUUGCGUGGGAUCUUGACUUGGAACAGAGCCCAAAGUCCCCACCACCCAUGCCAAUUUAUUAAAUUCUUUAUUAUCCUCAUUUAUAUUAUUUUAUUUGUUUUUUGAGGCAGAAAUCGGGUCUCACUUCAUGUUUGAUUUUUCCAAAGCGCAUCUGUGCAUAGUCUCCACUUGGACCAAAAACAGGCAUCCAGACUGGGAAGAGAACAAACAGAAGCCUCUUUCGGUUCCAUGACAUCAGAGCUUACACAAGAACCCAACCAUUAUUUCAUUUCAUACAAGAACCCUUUCUUUUUCUCUGGACACACUUUUUCCCCAUAUUUUUCCUAAUUUCACAACGGUGAUGGUUUCUUAAAACUUUUUCUUCUCUCAAGUGCUAUAAAAUUUAUAUAAAAUGAAACUAAAUAGUGUUUUGAUUCUUUUGAAAGAAAAUUGAAAGUCAUAAUGUUGCCAAAUAACACAACUACUACGAAUCUACCCCAGUGAAGAAGAGCAUAGACUUGGUAACUUGUAUUGUGAUGAGCAAAAUAUUUC